CGGUGGAUGAUGUGGAUUAAUUCGAUGCAACGCGAAAACCUUACCUACCCUUGACAUGUCUGGAGCCUUGGUGAGAGCCGAGGUGCCUUCGGGAGCCAGAACACAGGUGCUGCAUGGCUGUCGUCAGCUCGUGUCGUGAGAUGUACGGUUAAGUCCGUGAACGAGCGCAACCCCUGCCCUUAGUUGCUAAUAUGCGAAAGCAUAUGCACUCUAAGGGGACCGCCAGCGGAAAGCUGGAGGAAGGUGGGAUGACGUCAAAUCCUCAUGGCCUUUAUGUCCAGGGCUACACACAUGCGACAAUGGUCGAGACAACGCGUUGCAAACCAGUAAUGGUAAGCUAAUCGCAUAAAAUCGACCUCAGUACGGAUUGAGGGUUGCAAUUCACCCUCAUGAAGCUGGAGUUGCUAGUAACCGCAGGUCAGCUAUACUGCGAUGAAUACGUUCCCGGGGCUU
This 453-nucleotide ribosomal RNA is filed under the name uncultured Caldisericum sp. RNAcentral describes it as "bacterial SSU rRNA". It matches the Rfam family "Bacterial small subunit ribosomal RNA", at positions 930 to 1382 of the family's 1533-position model. Lineage: Bacteria; Pseudomonadati; Caldisericota; Caldisericia; Caldisericales; Caldisericaceae. The record is from RNAcentral.